This 253-nucleotide ribosomal RNA is filed under the name uncultured bacterium. RNAcentral's name for it is "partial 16S ribosomal RNA". It matches the Rfam family "Bacterial small subunit ribosomal RNA", at positions 524 to 776 of the family's 1533-position model. The record is from RNAcentral.
UACAGAGGGUGCGAGCGUUGUCCGGAAUCACUGGGCGUAAAGGGCGCGUAGGUGGCGACCCAAGUCGAUGGUGAAAGCUCGCCGCUCAACGGCGAGUCGGCCACCGAUACUGGGUUGCUGGAGCACUGUAGAGGCUCAUGGAAUUCCGGGUGUAGCGGUGGAAUGCGCAGAUAUCGGGAGGAACACCGGUGGCGAAGGCGGUUCUCUGGGCCUUACCUGACGCUGAGGAGCGAAAGCGUGGGGAGCGAACAGG